This 253-nucleotide ribosomal RNA is filed under the name uncultured bacterium. RNAcentral's name for it is "partial 16S ribosomal RNA". It matches the Rfam family "Bacterial small subunit ribosomal RNA", at positions 524 to 776 of the family's 1533-position model. The record is from RNAcentral.
UACGUAGGGUGCGAGCGUUGUCCGGAAUUACUGGGCGUAAAGAGCUUGUAGGUGGUUUGUCGCGUUGUUCGUGAAAUCUCACGGCUUAACUGUGAGCGUGCGGGCGAUACGGGCAGACUAGAGUACUGCAGGGGAGACUGGAAUUCCUGGUGUAGCGGUGGAAUGCGCAGAUAUCAGGAGGAACACCGGUGGCGAAGGCGGGUCUCUGGGCCGGAACUGACGCUGAGGAGCGAAAGCGUGGGGAGCAAACAGG